RNAcentral lists this ribosomal RNA (492 nucleotides) under uncultured bacterium. RNAcentral's name for it is "partial 16S ribosomal RNA". It matches the Rfam family "Bacterial small subunit ribosomal RNA", at positions 29 to 507 of the family's 1533-position model. The record is from RNAcentral.
AGUGAACGCUGGCGGUAGGCCUAACACAUGCCAGUCGAACGGCAGCACAGUAAGAGCUUGCUCUUACGGGUGGCGAGUGGCGGACGGGUGAGGAAUAAAUCGGAAUCUACUUUUUCGUGGGGGAUAAUGUAGGGAAACUUACGCUAAUACCGCAUACGACCUACGGGUGAAAGCAGGGGAUCUUCGGACCUUGCGCGAUUGAAUGAGCCGAUGUCGGAUUAGCUAGUUGGCGGGGUAAAGGCCCACCAAGGCGACGAUCCGUAGCUGGUCUGAGAGGAUGAUCAGCCACACUGGAACUGAGACACGGUCCAGACUCCUACGGGAGGCAGCAGUGGGGAAUAUUGGACAAUGGGCGCAAGCCUGAUCCAGCCAUACCGCGUGGGUGAAGAAGGCCUUCGGGUUGUAAAGCCCUUUUGUUGGGAAAGAAAAGCAGCAGGUUAAUACCCCGCUGUUCUGACGGUACCCAAAGAAUAAGCACCGGCUAACUUCGUG